RNAcentral lists this transfer RNA (76 nucleotides) under Alphaproteobacteria bacterium. Its description in RNAcentral is "tRNA-Val". It matches the Rfam family "tRNA". Rfam says of the family: Transfer RNA (tRNA) molecules are approximately 80 nucleotides in length. Lineage: Bacteria; Pseudomonadati; Pseudomonadota; Alphaproteobacteria. RNAcentral also lists the same sequence under 1 other name. The record is from RNAcentral.
GGGCGGUUAGCUCAGCUGGCAGAGCGUCUGGUUUACACCCAGCAGGUCGGCGGUUCGAACCCGUCACCGCCCACCA